UGCGUGACCCCAUACCUAUGACUACCCAUACGAGCCGAAGGCCCAAGGGCAAUACUACAACGCCUAAAAGCCACGGAGGAAAGGAAAACACCGCACAUCAGCCCAGACUAGCGUCCAAAGGGGGUAAUUGAGUUUCGGUGAGCCCACAUACGUUCCAACAUCCUCGCAAGACGUACUGGUUCCCAUUUCAUGUUGUAUGUGUUGGUCGCAUACUCAGUUCACGCUUCACGCAGUCUAAUGAGAGGAUAGCAUGCUUGCCCUAUGGCAUAAAACGGGGGUAACCCCCCCUUAAGCGUAACCCAGGGGUUACCCAUGUGGCUAUGUACGAAGGGAGGUGGGUAACCUAACCCCGGGGUAUGGGUAACCCCUUACCGAUGGGUAACAAAGGGGUCGGGGUAAUACACUACUGAUGGGUAACAGACAGGGUAACCUUUGUUUACAUUCACCUGCGCCUGUCUCGCCUGUCUACACACGCAAACAUACAUGCCAGGCAGGCAGGCGGCUGGCAGAAGUUAAGGCCUGACUUCUGCUCCCAGUCGAUCCAGUCGACCCGGGUUCAAAUCCGCCUGCCAGCUCCUCGGGUGUUUGAGGAGUGAUGAAAUGGGAGGUGGCCCCCCAUCAUAUGGACGGUGUAGGACGUGAUAAUAUCAACUUGCGACCUGACCAGGAACUAAGUUGAUGCGCCGUUGAUCCGCUAGAUUUGGUUGGAUGCUGGUGGUGAGUUGCCGAACCCAACGAAUACAUUCUGAAGUCGGAUGGGGUGACGGAUUAGGGUGCCCCUCUAGCAGGGGAGAGCAGGGACUGCCCCGGGAAAGGGGGCCGCUGGCGAAGUUAACCACCCUGUAACAACAUACAUACAUGCCUUCACCGAUCACUUGUGAAUGCCCAAUUAUCAACGUUGCCGCAACAAAACAUGCCUUGUUUUGAAACCUAAACCUAAGGAUAAGGCACACAGCUGCAGCCUAGAUGCAAGGAGGCGGACGAACACGCGUACAUAGGCAGAGCAAAUUGGGGACCACGAGAAGCCGCCAGCGAAGCCAAUAAAUAUUCCUAUCAAAAGAUCCAGGCACUUACCGCCGCUCCGGACCCAAGACCUAAAAGAUGUAAGGUCGGCCAGUAGCUUAAGUGCCCCGUCCCGACCUGCUGAUUCCAGCUCUACGCACGACCUAUGCAACAUUAUCCAGAGUCUGUUCGUUUUCAGAGCAGGCUCUCCUAAGAGCGUCGAGGGUCUUGGGCGGGAGAUCCGGAUGUUUGACCCCGAACAAGGUCACACCCGGCGAAGUGUAAGGUGCCUUUCCAGGUAAAAAU
RNAcentral lists this long non-coding RNA (1308 nucleotides) under Volvox carteri. RNAcentral describes it as "long non-coding RNA (VCAR_LNC003234)". Lineage: Eukaryota; Viridiplantae; Chlorophyta; Chlorophyceae; Chlamydomonadales; Volvocaceae. The record is from RNAcentral.